Molecule: long non-coding RNA, 1104 nt
Filed under: Equus asinus (donkey)
Lineage: Eukaryota; Metazoa; Chordata; Mammalia; Perissodactyla; Equidae
Description: lncRNA (ENSEASG00005027573.1)
Source: RNAcentral
UCGAGCUAGUGGCUUUGAGGAAUGAGGAAAAACUUGUGGUUUUACCCCAACGUCCAAGAAUUAGACGCAGCUUCAAGGGGGGGUGGGGAUUGUCUGGACUUAAAAAUAGGCAUACAACACGUCUAGUGAGGAGAUAUGACCGCCCAUUAAAAGGACAAAAUAGGAGCCCGGCUGUGGGUCAGGGCAGAUACCUUCAAGGCUUUUCCCAGCCAGGCCCGGCCCCGGGGCUGCUGCUUGCUGUUGAGGUUGAGGGCUGAUAAAGAAAGACUUCCUCCAACUUCUAAGGUCCACAAAGAGCAGAGAACAUCCUGGUGCUCUCUCCUCUGGUACUCUGCUGUGCAACUCUAACUGCCUGGGUCUCAGAGCUCCAUCACCGUCUGCUCAAAGUGUGGAGACAGCUGGGCUGAGCCAGGAUUCUCCUCCCCAUGUUACGCCUUGGAAACUCUCUCCAGGCAGUAAGCUGGGGUUUUUGAUUUUGUUUGUGUAAGUUCCUGUCUCUGAAUGAACAUGGAUUAAAGGGGAAUGGAUGGGAGUGGCUGCGGUGAAGAGGAACCCCGGUGUGAUUGGUUGUUCAGAGUUCAGAUCCCGGUUCCUGGAAUGAGGGGCAGAACUGCAAGGAUGCACGAAAUAUCUUCCGACCUUUGUGAAGUGGUCUCUGUUUCCUGAGGUGAAACCUGGCUAUGCUUGAGGAGGAGCCUGAGGUAGGUGCGCCUUCCACCCAGCUCUACCUGCCGGAUCAUUAAUGGCGUCUGCCCGUAUUUUCCGUGAGGUUAUCUGUCAAGCCUAGUUUGGGGGAUGGUGUGAAUCUUUGUGCUUUCCUGGGAGGCUGAGAAAAGUUGCAUUUUAGGGUUGCUGAUUAGAUCUCAUUAAAAUAAAAAAAUUUAUUAUUAUUUUUUGUUAGACACUGAGAUGAUUUUCCUCAAGGUAGCAUAAAUAAUGACUGUUAAAUAUAUGCUUUUUUCUCAAUCAGCUGUAUGUUAGGAACCAGCACUAAAAGAAAUUAGAAGAGGAGUUUUGUAUUUUCUCAUUUGGUUGAGACUAUUUAAAGCCUUUCCUCCUCUUAGCUACAAUAGAGUCUCUGCUUUCUGUCCUAAUGAAGCGACG